GCUGGCGGCAUGCCUAAUACAUGCAAGUCGAACGGAGGUGCUUGCACCUCAGUGGCGAACGGGUGAGUAACACGUAUCUAACCUACCUCAUAGCGGGGGAUAACUUUUGGAAACGAAAGAUAAUACCGCAGGUAGAUCUUAUUAUCGCAUGAGAAAAGAUCAAAAGAACCGUUUGGUUCACUAUGAGAUGGGGAUGCGGCGUAUUAGCUAGUAGGUGAGAUAAUAGCCCACCUAGGCGAUGAUACGUAGCCGAACUGAGAGGUUGAUCGGCCACAUUGGGACUGAGAUACGGCCCAGACUCCUACGGGAGGCAGCAGUAGGGAAUUUUUCACAAUGGACGAAAGUCUGAUGAAGCAAUGCCGCGUGAGUGAUGACGGCCUUCGGGUUGUAAAGCUCUGUUGUAAGGGAAGAAAAAAUAAAGUAGGAAAUGACUUUAUCUUGACAGUACCUUACCAGAAAGCCACGGCUAACUAUGUGCCAGCAGCCGCGGUAAUACAUAGGUGGCAAGCGUUAUCCGGAUUUAUUGGGCGUAUAGGGUGCGUAGGCGGUUUUGCAAGUUUGAGGUUAAAGUCCGGAGCUCAACUCCGGUUCGCCUUGAAAACUGUAUUACUAGAAUGCAAGAGAGGUAAGCGGANUUCCAUGUGUAGCGGUGAAAUGCGUAGAUAUAUGGAAGAACACCUGUGGCGAAAGCGGCUUACUGGCUUGUUAUUGACGCUGAGGCACGAAAGCGUGGGGAGCAAAUAGGAUUAGAUACCCUGGUANNCCGCGGC
Molecule: ribosomal RNA, 770 nt
Filed under: Mycoplasma mycoides subsp. capri LC
Lineage: Bacteria; Bacillati; Mycoplasmatota; Mollicutes; Mycoplasmatales; Mycoplasmataceae
Description: bacterial SSU rRNA
Rfam family: Bacterial small subunit ribosomal RNA
Source: RNAcentral